GUAGGUGGCAAGCGUUGUCCGGAAUCAUUGGGCGUAAAGCGCGCGCAGGCGGUCCUUUAAGUCUGAUGUGAAAGCCCACGGGCUCAACCGUGGAGGGUCAUUGGAAACUGGGGGACUUGAGUACAGAAGAGGAAAGCGGAAUUCCAAGUGUAGCGGUGAAAUGCGUAGAGAUUUGGAGGAACACCAGUGGCGAAGGCGGCUUUCUGGUCUGUAACUGACGCUGAGGCGCGAAAGCGUGGGGAGCAAACAGGAUUAGAUACCCUGGUAGUCCACGCCGUAAACGAUGAGUGCUAAGUGUUAGGGGGUUUCCGCCCCUUAGUGCUGCAGCUAACGCAUUAAGCACUCCGCCUGGGGAGUACGGCCGCAAAGGCUGA
Molecule: ribosomal RNA, 374 nt
Filed under: uncultured organism
Description: partial 16S ribosomal RNA
Rfam family: Bacterial small subunit ribosomal RNA
Source: RNAcentral